Molecule: ribosomal RNA, 669 nt
Filed under: Trichoderma longibrachiatum
Lineage: Eukaryota; Fungi; Ascomycota; Sordariomycetes; Hypocreales; Hypocreaceae
Description: eukaryotic LSU rRNA
Rfam family: 5.8S ribosomal RNA (bases 287-440)
Source: RNAcentral
UCAUUUAGAGGAAGUAAAAGUCGUAACAAGGUCUCCGUUGGUGAACCAGCGGAGGGAUCAUUACCGAGUUUACAACUCCCAAACCCCAAUGUGAACGUUACCAAUCUGUUGCCUCGGCGGGAUUCUCUUGCCCCGGGCGCGUCGCAGCCCCGGAUCCCAUGGCGCCCGCCGGAGGACCAACUCCAAACUCUUUUUUCUCUCCGUCGCGGCUCCCGUCGCGGCUCUGUUUUAUUUUUGCUCUGAGCCUUUCUCGGCGACCCUAGCGGGCGUCUCGAAAAUGAAUCAAAACUUUCAACAACGGAUCUCUUGGUUCUGGCAUCGAUGAAGAACGCAGCGAAAUGCGAUAAGUAAUGUGAAUUGCAGAAUUCAGUGAAUCAUCGAAUCUUUGAACGCACAUUGCGCCCGCCAGUAUUCUGGCGGGCAUGCCUGUCCGAGCGUCAUUUCAACCCUCGAACCCCUCCGGGGGGUCGGCGUUGGGGAUCGGCCCCUCACCGGGCCGCCCCCGAAAUACAGUGGCGGUCUCGCCGCAGCCUCUCAUGCGCAGUAGUUUGCACACUCGCACCGGGAGCGCGGCGCGGCCACAGCCGUAAAACACCCCAAAUUUUCUGAAAUGUUGACCUCGGAUCAGGUAGGAAUACCCGCUGAACUUAAGCAUAUCAAUAAGCGGGA